RNAcentral lists this long non-coding RNA (3170 nucleotides) under Ananas comosus (pineapple). Its description in RNAcentral is "long non-coding RNA (ACOM_LNC036472)". The record is from RNAcentral. Lineage: Eukaryota; Viridiplantae; Streptophyta; Magnoliopsida; Poales; Bromeliaceae.
UUUUUUGCUCCAUUGAAAAAUUGUCGAGAAUCUGAAAGGUGAUCGUGCAAGGUGUAUCAAUUCUCUUCUAGUUUUUACUGCUUUUUUAAUCCACUAGAUUUUCACCCGUGCGAUGCACGGCUAAUAUAAUAAUAUAGAAUAAUAAAAAUUAUUAUGUAAUGAUAACAAAAAAAUUUUCUAAUUAAUUUUAUAUUUUUUAACAAAUAAAAAAAUAUACUAUCAAUCUUAAUUAUAGUACAUAUUAAAGUAUACAAGCUAGAGAAAAAAAAUUUGGACCAAAGUAAAUAUUCAACUAAAAUACAAAAUUCAAUCCUGCUCUAUUAUCUAUGAAUUGGUGUGCAAAACAAUUUACAUUUAUAUAUUGAUGUGCGAAAUAAAAUGAUAACUAAAAUUGAUAUGAAAAAUUACAAAUGACAUUAAUAUUUAAGCAUAUAAUGAGAUCAACUAAACUUUCAUAUUUGACACAAAUUAGAGUAAGCACACAUAUAUUAUGUUCCUACUGUCGCUUUUAAGAUUCAAAAAUAUAUAGAUGUUGGUUUUCAAGAAAAUAUAAAGAAAAAAAAUUUUGUUGCAUGAAGAUGAAAAGUUACAUGAGUGACAGAAGGGAAAAAAAUUACGAAAUGAAAAUUACAGAAGUGACAGUAGGGAAAUAAUAUGUUCUAUUUUAAAGCAUCAAUAUUUAAGGGCGAAGAAAAUUACAGUAGUGAUGUGAGUUUUAAAUUUUUUUCUCUUUCCAAAAAUGCCUCUAUCCUUUUUUACUAAUAUUUUUAUGUCCAGAAAUUUUCAACCAAUCAUUUUAAAUAAUUAACUAAGUAAUAAUUUAUUCCCAAAUAAAGAUAAAUAUUUUUCUUCUCACGCGUAAUAUCCGCACCGCCAAUUCUUUCGCAACAUAAUAUCCAUAAAUUUCUCAAAUAUCUCAACAUAAUUAUAGGUGACUUUGAAAUAAAAUUUCCUUCAUUAUAUGUGAUUUUUAAUAAUAUAGUAAAAGAUAUUAAUUUUUUAUAAAAACGUGAGUUUUGAAUUUUUUCUCUUUCCAAAAAUGUCUCUAUCCUUUUUUACUAAUAUUUUUAUGUCCAGAAAUUUUCAACCAAUCAUUUUAAAUAAUUAACUAAGUAAUAAUUUAUUCCCAAAUAAAGAUAAAUAUUUUUCUUCUCACGCGUAAUAUCCGCACCGCCAAUUCUUUCGCAACAUAAUAUCCAUAAAUUUUUCAAAUAUCUCAACAUAAUUAUAGGUGACUUUGAAAUAAAAUUUCCUUCAUUAUAUGUGAUUUUUAAUAAUAUAGUAAAAGAUAUUAAUUUUUUAUAAAAACGUGAGUUUUGAAUUUUUUCUCUUUCCAAAAAUGUCUCUAUCCUUUUUUACUAAUAUUUUUAUGUCCAGAAAUUUUCAACCAAUCAUUUCAAAUAAUUAACUAAGUAGUAAUUUAUUCCCAAAUAAAGAUAAAUAUUUUUCUUCUCACGCAUAAUAUCUGCACCGGUCAAUUUUUUUGCCACAUAAUAUCCGUGAAUUUUUUAAAUAUCUCAACAUAAUUAUAGGUGACUUUGAAAUAAUUUCUCCUUCAUUAUAGGUGAUUUUUAAUAAUAUAGCAAAAGAUAUUAAUUUUUUGCCAUUAGAUCUUAUCUAAUGAUUGAAAAUAAAAAUAUCUGUUAAUUUUUGUGACAAUAUUACCCUCGCAUUUAUAUCCUAUUUUCUAUCUUUUCUAAAAUAAAAUAUCUAUAUUUGAACUUGACACGUAGAUUAUUUUUCCUAAAGCAGUAAUAUCCGCACCCGCCAAUUCUUUCGCGUGAAUUUCUCAAAUAUCUCAACAUAAUUAUAGGUGACUUUGAAAUAAAAUCACCUUCAUUCAUUAUAGGUGAUUUUUAAUAAUAUUGUAAAAUAUACUAUUUCCUUAAAAAAUUUAAUUUUAUUUUUCCUAAAGUAGUCAUAUUCCCUAAAGUAGUAAUAUCCGCACAACAUAAUUAUAGGUGACUUUAAAAUAUUCCCUAAAAUAGAAAAUCUAUAUUUGAGCUUAACACGUAAUAGAAAAUCUAUAUUUGAGCUUAACACGUAGAUUUUCUAUAUAUUAAAAGAUAUUAUUUUCUUAAAAAAUCUAAUUUUUUUCUAAAAUAAAAAAUCUAUAUUUGAGCUUGACACGUGGCAAACAUAUAAAGCGCCACGUGUCAGCUUUUCACAUAGGGUUCAUUAAGGAUUCUACUUUAGUAUAUAGUAAUAGAAGAUAGAUAAUUUAAAUAAAAUAUCCAAAAUUUUAAAUAUUAGUAGGUAAAUUUGAGAUAACUUUUAUAUAUUUUGCUUUAAAAAAAUAUGAUUUAAUAUUAUAUAUGCGGAAGGUAUUAUGUGAUUGGAUAUUAUAUAGGUGGUGGAUAUUAUGUGUGAGAAAAAAAAUUAAGAUAUGCGAAUAUUAUUUGUGAUAAAAUAUGAUAUUAUGUGGGCGACGGUUAUUAGAAGAUAUGACAUGCAUAUAAAAAGUGAAAUUUGAUACGUACUAUUUGAAAGCAAUUUAGAUAAAAAAAGUGACAAAUAUUUUGUAUUCGUCAGUCAAUUAGAUUUAUUGACUAAGAAUUAAUAUAUUUUAUAAUAAUUUAAAUAAAAUAUCUAAUAUUUUAAAUUUGAGAUAACUUUUAUAUAUUCUGCUUUUAAAAAAUAUGAUUAAAUAUUAUAUAUGUUAAUAUAUUUUAUAAUGUUUUAAAUAAAAUAUCCAAUAUUUUAAAUAUUAGUAGGUAAAUUUGAGAUAACUUUUAUAUAUUUUGUUUUAAAAAAAUAUGAUUAAAUAUUAUAUAUGCGGAAGAUAUUAUAUUAAUAGGGACCGGUAUUUUGGGAAAGAGGAAAAAAUUCAAAACUAUCAUUUUUAUAAAUAGUAUAGAUCAGCAGUUAACUGAAAAUAAUGUAUAAACAUUCAAAAGAUAUAUCUAUAAUUAUAAACACAUACUUGUUAUCCUCAAGUAGUAUCGUAAUCUUUUUUAUUUCUUUACCGUCCUUCCAGUUUUCUUCCAUUCUACUAAUUCCAGUAAGCUUCCCGAUGACAUCUGAGAUAAUAUAAUAAUAAAAUGUAAGAAUCAAUAUAAUAGAUAGACAUAUUAAAAAUUAAAUUUUAAAAAUUAAAUAUUUAAUGCAUAUACUAACUCUUACCUACUAAAUAUUUGUUAUCAGCGACAUUACCAAGUAUUUCAUCAAAA